This is a long non-coding RNA of Salarias fasciatus (jewelled blenny), 373 nucleotides long. RefSeq lists it as uncharacterized. NCBI's taxonomy places the organism in Eukaryota, Metazoa, Chordata, Actinopteri, Blenniiformes, Blenniidae. The transcript is spliced from 3 exons. The record is from RefSeq and is a predicted model, not a curated record.
UCCAACAUUUCCCCAGCAUUUCCUUCGCUGAUGUGGAAAGGAUGGUGGAAGAGAAAUCGGUGACAAAAAAGUCAAAGAUGAAGAAAGGAUACAAGUUUUUCCACGAAAACUUCAUAGAAAAACACGAAGAUGACGCUUGCUGUUGACAGUGGACGUCUGAUGGCGUUUUCCUGUAGCUGUGCAGCAGGAAGAGGGUUUUUCAACCACACUGUGGCCCUGCUUCAUCAGACAGCGCAUUAUACACAGUAUGGCCUGCAGACUGUCCUCCAUCUCUGGCCUGCACAAGCAGUCUACAGCAAUGGCAUAGAGCAAGAACUCAGUGAAUUCAUCCAGAACCUGUGAGUGAUGUGGUGGUGCGAAAGCCAACAGCAGC